GGAGAUUUAGCUCAGUGGUAGAGCGCUUGCCUAGGCUCUGCAAGGCCCUGGGUUCGGUCCCCAGCUCCG
RNAcentral lists this transfer RNA (69 nucleotides) under Rattus norvegicus (Norway rat). It matches the Rfam family "tRNA". From Rfam's summary of the family: Transfer RNA (tRNA) molecules are approximately 80 nucleotides in length. Their secondary structure includes four short double-helical elements and three loops (D, anti-codon, and T loops). The record is from Rfam by way of RNAcentral. Lineage: Eukaryota; Metazoa; Chordata; Mammalia; Rodentia; Muridae.